UAAAACAAACAAACAAACCUAGCAUGUGAC
Molecule: non-coding RNA, 30 nt
Filed under: Mus musculus (house mouse)
Lineage: Eukaryota; Metazoa; Chordata; Mammalia; Rodentia; Muridae
Source: RNAcentral